Brienomyrus brachyistius is the source of this 286-nucleotide long non-coding RNA. RefSeq lists it as uncharacterized. Lineage: Eukaryota; Metazoa; Chordata; Actinopteri; Osteoglossiformes; Mormyridae. The record is from RefSeq and is a predicted model, not a curated record. The transcript is spliced from 4 exons.
GCGGGGGGCUUCAGAGUCCCUGAGAGUCGGUACCCACAGGUCCAGGCGGGGGGCUUCAGAGUCCCUGAGAGUCGGUACCCACAGGUCCAGGCGGGGGGCUUCAGAGUCCCUGAGAGUCGGUACCCACAGGCCCAGGCGGAGCUUCAGAGUCCCUGAGAGUCGGUACCCACAGGCCCAGGCGGGGCUUCAGAGUCCCUGAGAGUCGGUACCCACAGGCCCAGGAGGGGCUUCAGAGUCCCUGAGAGUCGGUACCCACAGGUCCAAAUUGGGCUUCAGAGUCCCUAAG